UUUGCGUCGAAGGUAUACCGGUAAGGAGUGCUGGAGCGAAUAGAAGUGAGCAUGCAGGCAUGAGUAGCGAUAAUUAAUGUGAGAAUCAUUAACGCCGUAAACCCAAGGUUUCCUACGCGAUGCUCGUCAUCGUAGGGUUAGUCGGGUCCUAAGUCGAGUCCGAAAGGGGUAGACGAUGGCAAAUUGGUUAAUAUUCCAAUACCAACAUUAGUGUGCGAUGGAAGGACGCUUAGGGCUAAGGGGGCUAGCGGAUGGAAGUGCUAGUCUAAGGUCGUAGGAGGUUAUACAGGCAAAUCCGUAUAACAAUACUCCGAGAACUGAAAGGCUUUUUGAAGUCUUCGGAUGGAUAGAAGAACCCCUGAUGCCGUCGAGCCAAGAAAAGUUUCUAAGUUUAGCUAAUGUUGCCCGUACCGUAAACCGACACAGGUGGGUGGGAUGAGUAUUCUAAGGCGCGUGGAAGAACUCUCUUUAAGGAACUCUGCAAAAUAGCACCGUAUCUUCGGUAUAAGGUGUGGUUAGCUUUGUAUUAGGAUUUACUCCGAAAGCAAGGAAACUUACAACAAAGAGUCCCUCCCGACUGUUUACCAAAAACACAGCACUCUGCUAACUCGUAAGAGGAUGUAUAGGGUGUGACGCCUGCCCGGUGCUCGAAGGUUAAUUGAUGGGGUUAGCAUUAGCGAAGCUCUUGAUCGAAGCCCGAGUAAACGGCGGCCGUAACUAUAACGGUCCUAAGGUAGCGAAAUUCCUUGUCGGUUAAAUACCGACCUGCAUGAAUGGCGUAACGAGAUGGGAGCUGUCUCAAAGAGGGAUCCAGUGAAAUUGUAGUGGAGGUGAAAAUUCCUCCUACCCGCGGCAAGACGGAAAGACCCCGUGGACCUUUACUACAGCUUGACACUGCUACUUGGAUAAGAAUGUGCAGGAUAGGUGGGAGGCUUUGAGUAUAUGACGCUAGUUGUAUAUGAGCCAUUGUUGAGAUACCACUCUUUCUUAUUUGGGUAGCUAACCAGCUUGAGUUAUCCUCAAGUGGGACAAUGUCUGGUGGGUAGUUUGACUGGGGCGGUCGCCUCCCAAAUAAUAACGGAGGCUUACAAAGGUUGGCUCAGAACGGUUGGAAAUCGUUCGUAGAGUAUAAAGGUAUAAGCCAGCUUAACUGCAAGACAUACAAGUCAAGCAGAGACGAAAGUCGGUCUUAGUGAUCCGGUGGUUCUGUGUGGAAGGGCCAUCGCUCAAAGGAUAAAAGGUACCCCGGGGAUAACAGGCUGAUCUCCCCCAAGAGCUCACAUCGACGGGGAGGUUUGGCACCUCGAUGUCGGCUCAUCGCAUCCUGGGGCUGGAGCAGGUCCCAAGGGUAUGGCUGUUCGCCAUUUAAAGCGGUACGCGAGCUGGGUUCAGAACGUCGUGAGACAGUUCGGUCCCUAUCUGCCGUGGGCGUAAGAAGAUUGAAGAGAUUUGACCCUAGUACGAGAGGACCGGGUUGAACAAACCACUGGUGUAGCUGUUGUUCUGCCAAGAGCAUCGCAGCGUAGCUAAGUUUGGAAAGGAUAAACGCUGAAAGCAUCUAAGCGUGAAGCCAACUCUAAGAUGAAUCUUCUCUAAGCUCUCUAGAAGACUACUAGUUUGAUAGGCUGGGUGUGUAAUGGAUGAAAGUCCUUUAGCUGACCAGUACUAAUAGAGCGUUUGGCUUAUCUUUAAUAAAGCAU
Molecule: ribosomal RNA, 1700 nt
Filed under: Campylobacter jejuni
Lineage: Bacteria; Pseudomonadati; Campylobacterota; Epsilonproteobacteria; Campylobacterales; Campylobacteraceae
Description: partial 23S ribosomal RNA
Rfam family: Bacterial large subunit ribosomal RNA
Source: RNAcentral